Molecule: ribosomal RNA, 1525 nt
Filed under: Limosilactobacillus reuteri
Lineage: Bacteria; Bacillati; Bacillota; Bacilli; Lactobacillales; Lactobacillaceae
Description: bacterial SSU rRNA
Rfam family: Bacterial small subunit ribosomal RNA
Source: RNAcentral
AGAGUUUGAUCCUGGCUCAGGAUGAACGCCGGCGGUGUGCCUAAUACAUGCAAGUCGUACGCACUGGCCCAACUGAUUGAUGGUGCUUGCACCUGAUUGACGAUGGAUCACCAGUGAGUGGCGGACGGGUGAGUAACACGUAGGUAACCUGCCCCGGAGCGGGGGAUAACAUUUGGAAACAGAUGCUAAUACCGCAUAACAACAAAAGCCGCAUGGCUUUUGUUUGAAAGAUGGCUUUGGCUAUCACUCUGGGAUGGACCUGCGGUGCAUUAGCUAGUUGGUAAGGUAACGGCUUACCAAGGCGAUGAUGCAUAGCCGAGUUGAGAGACUGAUCGGCCACAAUGGAACUGAGACACGGUCCAUACUCCUACGGGAGGCAGCAGUAGGGAAUCUUCCACAAUGGGCGCAAGCCUGAUGGAGCAACACCGCGUGAGUGAAGAAGGGUUUCGGCUCGUAAAGCUCUGUUGUUGGAGAAGAACGUGCGUGAGAGUAACUGUUCACGCAGUGACGGUAUCCAACCAGAAAGUCACGGCUAACUACGUGCCAGCAGCCGCGGUAAUACGUAGGUGGCAAGCGUUAUCCGGAUUUAUUGGGCGUAAAGCGAGCGCAGGCGGUUGCUUAGGUCUGAUGUGAAAGCCUUCGGCUUAACCGAAGAAGUGCAUCGGAAACCGGGCGACUUGAGUGCAGAAGAGGACAGUGGAACUCCAUGUGUAGCGGUGGAAUGCGUAGAUAUAUGGAAGAACACCAGUGGCGAAGGCGGCUGUCUGGUCUGCAACUGACGCUGAGGCUCGAAAGCAUGGGUAGCGAACAGGAUUAGAUACCCUGGUAGUCCAUGCCGUAAACGAUGAGUGCUAGGUGUUGGAGGGUUUCCGCCCUUCAGUGCCGGAGCUAACGCAUUAAGCACUCCGCCUGGGGAGUACGACCGCAAGGUUGAAACUCAAAGGAAUUGACGGGGGCCCGCACAAGCGGUGGAGCAUGUGGUUUAAUUCGAAGCUACGCGAAGAACCUUACCAGGUCUUGACAUCUUGCGCUAACCUUAGAGAUAAGGCGUUCCCUUCGGGGACGCAAUGACAGGUGGUGCAUGGUCGUCGUCAGCUCGUGUCGUGAGAUGUUGGGUUAAGUCCCGCAACGAGCGCAACCCUUGUUACUAGUUGCCAGCAUUAAGUUGGGCACUCUAGUGAGACUGCCGGUGACAAACCGGAGGAAGGUGGGGACGACGUCAGAUCAUCAUGCCCCUUAUGACCUGGGCUACACACGUGCUACAAUGGACGGUACAACGAGUCGCAAGCUCGCGAGAGUAAGCUAAUCUCUUAAAGCCGUUCUCAGUUCGGACUGUAGGCUGCAACUCGCCUACACGAAGUCGGAAUCGCUAGUAAUCGCGGAUCAGCAUGCCGCGGGUGAAUACGUUCCCGGGCCUUGUACACACCGCCCGUCACACCAUGGGARUUUUGUAACCGCCCAAAGUCGGUUGGCCUAACCUUUUAUGGAAGGGAGCCCGCCUAAAGGCGGGACAGAUGACUGGGGU